This 505-nucleotide ribosomal RNA is filed under the name uncultured bacterium. Its description in RNAcentral is "partial 16S ribosomal RNA". It matches the Rfam family "Bacterial small subunit ribosomal RNA", at positions 28 to 507 of the family's 1533-position model. The record is from RNAcentral.
GACGAACGCUGGCGGCGUGCCUAAUACAUGCAAGUAGAACGCACAGUUUAUACCGUAGCUUGCUACACCAUAGACUGUGAGUUGCGAACGGGUGAGUAACGCGUAGGUAACCUGCCUGGUAGCGGGGGAUAACUAUUGGAAACGAUAGCUAAUACCGCAUAAUAUUGAUUAUUGCAUGAUAAUUGAUUGAAAGAUGCUAUUGCAUUACUACCAGAUGGACCUGCGUUGUAUUAGCUAGUAGGUGAGGUAACGGCUCACCUAGGCGACGAUACAUAGCCGACCUGAGAGGGUGAUCGGCCACACUGGGACUGAGACACGGCCCAGACUCCUACGGGAGGCAGCAGUAGGGAAUCUUCGGCAAUGGACGAAAGUCUGACCGAGCAACGCCGCGUGAGUGAAGAAGGGUUUCGGAUCGUAAAGCUCUGUUGUAAGAGAAGAACGGGUGUGAGAGUGGAAAGUUCGCACUGUGACGGUAUCUUACCAGAAAGAGACGGCUAACUACGUG